AACUUCAGUAACGACAUGGGUAAAAAGCCAUUACUAAUAGUGGGUUUUUUUUUCUUCUCCAGAUAUCAGGUUAAGAUCCUCGGUUCACUAGAUUUUUUUCGAGCUAUGGUUUCUCUCCAUUGCCAUUGGAGUAAAUUCAUCAAGCAACACUAUUCAAAAUAAACAACAACUACAUCAUUUCUGCAGAUAUGCCAAAAAUCUAUUUUCACAUAAGUAAGACAGUGAGGAAAGUUAAAACUAAGCCUCAGAGAAAGAAUUAAAGCUCAUCCUAUCUUCAUCAUGCUAAACGGUCUUUACUGAGUACGAUCUUCCCACAAACUUGAAUUAUA
This 329-nucleotide unclassified non-coding RNA is filed under the name Hevea brasiliensis (rubber tree). Lineage: Eukaryota; Viridiplantae; Streptophyta; Magnoliopsida; Malpighiales; Euphorbiaceae. The record is from RNAcentral.